UGCGUAACGCGUAUCCAACUUCCCCUGCCAGGGAACAGCCCGUUGAAAAGACGGAUUAAUGCCCUAUGUUGUGCGAAGAUGGCAUCAGAUUUGCACGAAAGAUUUUAUCGGCAUGGGAUGGGAUGCGUAGGAUUAGGUAGUCGGCGGGGUAACGGCCCACCGAGCCAUCGAUCCUUAGGGGUUCUGAGAGGAAGGUCCCCCACACUGGUACUGAGACACGGACCAGACUCCUACGGGAGGCAGCAGUGAGGAAUAUUGGUCAAUGGGCGGAAGCCUGAACCAGCCAAGUAGCGUGCAGGAUGACGGCCCUAUGGGUUGUAAACUGCUUUUAUAGGGGGAUAAAGUGAGGUAUGCAUACCUUUUUGCAUGUACCCUAUGAAUAAGGACCGGCUAAUUCCGUGCC
This 403-nucleotide ribosomal RNA is filed under the name uncultured bacterium. Its description in RNAcentral is "bacterial SSU rRNA". It matches the Rfam family "Bacterial small subunit ribosomal RNA", at positions 107 to 509 of the family's 1533-position model. The record is from RNAcentral.